AGAAUUUUAGGUUAAUUAAACUUUUGGCCUUCAAAGCCGACAAUGAAAAAUUUCUUUUCAAAUUCUG
RNAcentral lists this transfer RNA (67 nucleotides) under Umbonium thomasi. RNAcentral describes it as "tRNA-Trp". Lineage: Eukaryota; Metazoa; Mollusca; Gastropoda; Trochida; Trochidae. The record is from RNAcentral.